GGCAGAUGAUGUCCUUAUCUCACGAUGGUCUGCGGAUGUCCCUGCGGGAGUGCCGACAAUGCCAAUGGCUUAGCUGAUGCCAGGAG
Molecule: small nucleolar RNA, 86 nt
Organism: Callithrix jacchus (white-tufted-ear marmoset)
Lineage: Eukaryota; Metazoa; Chordata; Mammalia; Primates; Cebidae
Gene: SNORD35A
Product: small nucleolar RNA, C/D box 35A
Source: Ensembl